Molecule: long non-coding RNA, 3255 nt
Filed under: Triticum aestivum (bread wheat)
Lineage: Eukaryota; Viridiplantae; Streptophyta; Magnoliopsida; Poales; Poaceae
Description: long non-coding RNA (TAES_LNC009174)
Rfam family: MIR1120/MIR1122 microRNA precursor family (bases 1750-1836)
Source: RNAcentral
CUGUCGUCAAAAGUUCGUCUCUUCUGUUCUGUAGAUAAACUAGUAGCGCAUGAGACUAUAUGGGGAUGCGGCGAUACUUUUACAUGUUACUAAAUGCUUGACUGCUGCUACUACUUAGAGUAUAUAUUACUACAAUCUCAGGUGCACAUCGGUGCCCGAUCUUUCUUCUAAUUGGCAUCUUUGAGCUUCUUCUGCUGUGAUUUCCCUGCAUUAGAAUCUGGUGGCUCUGAAUAAUUAGCUAGCGUCAGAAGAUGCAAUAAGCAUGAGCACCUGAUAAAUAAUGUGUUUGAGCAUGAGCAUCUUUACCGUGCAGCAUUGACUAGAUCUAUAUGUGAUUUCAUCAACGAGAGAGCUGGGCAAGCUCUUCUUGCUGUACAGGCCUGCAAGUAUGUGAUUUUGUCAUUUCAAAUGCAUGAACAAUAUGUCAAAAGUAAGAUGUGCUCAUGGAUGCUCUGUAGGAUGUGCUUUUCCCACUCAAAAUGAAGCUUGUCUACCUAGUUAUCAGCCUGUUUUUUUUUUUUUUUGUUAUGGUAAAACUUUGUUCAUCUGAUGAGGUAAAAAAACUAUAAAGAAUCUGUGAGGCUAGAUAGUGUGAAUGACUAAUGUUGCUGAUUGUGCAUAACCAUGCUUCAGUCAAAGUGAAUGGUCAAAAACAUGUUUACAAAGUACAUGACCAUGUAGCAGUCAAUUUUCUGAUCUUGCUGCAAAACUCUGAUUCAAUAAUUUAACCCAACAUCUUGUCUACUGGAAAAUAUCCAUAUAGGCAUGGCUGAAUUUAUUUUCUGUUGUUUAAAAUGCAUGAAGAAAUGUAAACAGUUCAUAGAAGUAGUUCUGAGGAGCAUGAAAAAAUCAUGUGAUGGGUCUGGAUUGGCACUCUAGUGAUUGUCCAGUAUGUGCUAAGUUAGCGCGAGUAUUCCCACUUGCAGUGCUUGAAGUGAAAAUGAAUAAGAACUAUAUGCACAAUGGAUACCGUGUUUCAGUAAAAGUGUGAAUGACAAUAAAGAAUCUGUGAGGCUAGAUAGUGUGAAUGACUAAUGUUGCUGAUUGUGCAUAACCAUGUUUCAGUCAAAGUGAAUGGUCAAAAACAUGUUUACAAAGUGCAUGACCAUGUAGUAGUCAAUUUUCUGAUCUUGCUGCAAAACUCUGAUUCAAUAAUUUGACCCAACUUAUCUUGUCUACUGGAAAAUAUCCAUAUAGGCAUGGCUGAAUUUAUUUUCUGUUGUUUGAAAUGCAUGAAAUAAUGCCAACAGUUCAUAGAAGUAGUUCUGAGGAGCAUGAAAAAAACAUGUGAUAGGUCUGGAUUGGCACUAGUGAUUGUCCAGUAUGUGCUGAGUUAGCGCGAGUAUUCCCACUUGCAGUGCUUGAAGUGAAAAUUAAGAAGAAUUAUAUGCACAAUGGAUACCGUGUAGGUUGGGAUACUUACUAUUGAGGUAGCUAACACCCCAACAGUCAAGGGACCUAUUUACCCACCAGAAGUCUGUUCCAUUGGUUUAUGUACGCAAACCUGUUGCUUGUAACAAAAGGAAUACUAAUAAAGUGUAAAACAGAGAUUCCAUUGCAUUACCAGGCUUUCAGCAAAGUACCACACAAUGGUCAUCGUGUAGUCAUCGAUAGAAUAAUUGUUCAAAAAAACAUGUAUAUACUUGCUCUUAGAGCCUCUUCGAUUCACAAGAUUCUCAACAGGUACUAUGGAACGACCUCUAUCCCUAAAUAUUGAGUACUACUACCUCUGUCCCUAAAUAUUGAGUACCACUACCUCUGUCCCUAAAUAUAAGACGUUUUUGCAGUUCAAUUUGAACUGCAAGAACGUCUUAUAUUUAGGGACAGAGGGAGUAUAUGGAACUGAAAAGGUGUUUGCUUAUGUGUAAGAAAAACGAAAUAUUCUUUCCAAGAGAUGAGGCCGAUGGAAAUUUUCCUAAAAUCUAGUACUACAAAUAAAUCCUAUGGCCCAGUUUGGAAUGUGCGUAAAAUUUAGUAUGGUUUGCUAAUGACCAUACAAAUUUUACACACAUUCAAACAGUCCUUGAGGGGAAAAUAAUAUGGUUUAGUAUUGCGAAUCAAACUUGCCAUGGGUAAAUUUCAAAAAUGAUUAAAAUCCUACAAUGAUCUUCUGAAGAAACACAUGAUUGUGAUCUCAUGUUCAAUCUAAACCUAUAGGAUGUUUUUUGCACCAGAGUUUGUUCCGCGCAUCAUUAAGACAAGAGCAAAGAAUAGAGUUGACAGAAAAAUGGUGAUAACGCGUGCAAAGUAAUCUUUCUGAAACUAUCUAUGAGAUUAAAUCAUGCAAAUCGAACAACCUACAAAAAAAUAUACCCAAGGGUUCUAAUCCUCCGAAUUUACUAGAAAAAUCCUGUUGAAUCAAAUAGGCCCUAAGAGUCAGAUGCUCUUAUAUAUUUUGCAAUGACUCAAAUGAAACAAAAAAAACAUUUUAAUAGGUUUUAAAUCCAGCAUAUUUUUGCAAGACCUAUUAGUUGACCUGCAGGUAUCUAUAGUUGUCUUUUAGGCAUAUAUAUUAUUAUUUUGCUCUUACCCGAAUUUUUCUAUUCAAAUAGGCUUUAAAAUCAUACUCCCAUCGUAUAACGGAAGCAUGGCCUUUAGAUAUCUAAUGGGCUUUCAAAUUGUACUCCCGUCAUAUACGGAGAGAGUAGGAGAUCCAUAGGAGCUGCACACAAAAUACAUGCCAUGAGGCAAGUGAUUGUUUUAGCAACAGUGGGAAAAAAAUCCUCAACAGACAAGAAGGCUUUAGAGGCGGCCUCUACAGGCUACUGCAGUGGAGUGGUAAAGGGUGAGGCUGCCCUUGACUUUGUUCGGUCCACAGACAGACUACAGAUUGUUAUUACGAGCAGGCAUCAGAAAAAAGUGGCUGAGCUGAACUCAAAUGCGGUCAGGCUAAGUAUACAUAUACACACACUGCAAAAUACAGUGUGUCAAAACGGCAAGGCUUCUGUGCAAGUAUGAAGAUUUGGGAGCAAACUAGACACAACGGGAAAGUGGACCAUAAUACUGUACUGAUCUGAUCUGGAGAGAAGAAGAAAAAUGUAGGUGGCUUAUUAAGAAAUGCAUACUUUUCUUACUAAGAUUCUCAUGAAAGAAAAGCAUCACUGAAGGACAUAAUGAAUAGGCCAUGUGUAUGUGUACUGUAUCCUGAUGCCAAUGCUAUAUUUUUAACCAAAAUUCCCAGUGACUAGAUUACCCAUUAUCUACAUCCAAGAUUAUUUCGCAACCUUUUUACAGCUGACGGGUAGAAAUAAUUAC